Long non-coding RNA from Papaver somniferum (opium poppy), 1327 nucleotides. RefSeq lists it as uncharacterized. The record is from RefSeq and is a predicted model, not a curated record. Lineage: Eukaryota; Viridiplantae; Streptophyta; Magnoliopsida; Ranunculales; Papaveraceae. The transcript has 2 exons.
AGAAAAAACUAACCGAAACAGAAAAAGUCUUCGUCAAUUGGCUAUUACCAAGUAGUUUAGAAGAGAAUUUCUGGGAAGUUGUUACGUCGAUGAAAGAACAAGGGUUUCUCUGAAUGGAGGUGGAGAUGAGUACGGGAAGAUAUGAUGGAAUUCCUUUUGUUCCUGAAAAAGGGUUCAGGCGUUAACUUCAGUGAUCGAGUGCUAUAUGAACGGCCGAGUUCCUCCUCAUGUUCUCGUCAGUGCAUCAGAUGAAGUUUUGUCUGUUCUUAAAAGUGAUAUCAAUUUUGGAUAUGAGAAGAAACAAGAGAUUGAUAAAUUGAUUGGGUUGAUUUCCCUCGACACCUUUCAACAAUUGGUUGCCAUCGCAAAUUGGAUUACUGAUUAUACCAAUCCUCGUCCUGCUAAUUGGAGAUCAUAUAAUCCUGGAGAUUUGUCAGGGUUGUUUUACAGACCAAGUAACGAAGCUAAUUGGAGAUCAUAUAAUCUGUUUCUUGAUGCUUUUAAACAACUUAUCGGAGAUCAGCCUGAUAUGGUUGUUUUAAGAAUGUUGAUACCCCGAUAGAGUACCGAAUACAUGUCAUUGAAUCAGAACUAGGGCCUGCAUCGAGGAAUUGGUUUGAUCAUCUGAGUUCACUUGCGAAUUUGAUUACUGAUUACCCACCAUUACUAUCUCCUAGUUGGGAAACCACGGCCACAGCUCCGUCGUGGGCUCAAUCCACCUCUGGUACUGAUUUUUACCCUCAUGAGUUUCCCUCGGAGAAGAAGGAAGCGGAAAGGAUCGCCAUAUUUGCACCUGAAGAUCCUGAAGAUUAUUUUGAUAAUGUCAAGUUUGAUUUUGAAGAUGAUGUAAUGGCUAGUGAUUCUUCUUCUGAGGAGGAGGAGGAUGAGAAGGUGGUAGGGUCACCAUAUGAUCUAAGGGCUAGCAAUGAUUCUGAUGAUCAAGGCACUGUACAGGGAUGGAUGAGAGAUUUGACUGAUGAUGAUUUUCAAGAAGUGAAAGUUGGAAUGAAGAAUCUGAGGGUGGAGAGAGAAGGUAGCAGCAGCGGAGAUGAUGAGUGUGAGAGAGUCACCGUCGGAGAAGCAUACCUGACGUCUGAGAGUUGCAGUGAUGAAGAGUAUCAAAGGUCAAAGUGGGAGUCCGUAAUCUGACGGUCGGAGAGAACAGUGAUGAAGAAUGGUUAGUCGUUUAAUGGUGCUGAUGAUAUUGAAGCAGGUUAAUACGAUAGGUUAGUGGAGUACAAAAAAAAGACUUGAAUUUUCUUCGUGGUUUCUUCUGUUUGGUUAUCAGUUAUCAAUCUAGUUAAUUGGAACCUGCUUUGCUUUCAUU